Heterocephalus glaber (naked mole-rat) is the source of this 1422-nucleotide long non-coding RNA. The record is from Ensembl. NCBI's taxonomy places the organism in Eukaryota, Metazoa, Chordata, Mammalia, Rodentia, Bathyergidae.
UGGGUACGAUGUGGGACAAACAAUAAUCAACCGUAGGAGUACAGGAAUAGCCACUUAGCUAAUGCUGAUCCAGUAGGGAAAUGAGUCACGUAGCAAGACCUUCCUGGAAAGGCAGAGGAGUGUGGGUCCAGGUGUACUGGUUCCCACCUAUGUGUCUGGUGUCUGCUGGGCACACUGGACCACUUGGUGCUAGUUACAGUCUAACCUCGAGUUGCUGUAUCUCUGGGUAGAAAUGCAGGGCUGCCUAUUGCAUCUCCAUCCUGAGAGGCCUGGCCUUCUUCAGAUUUGCCUCCAGCCACAAUUCUCAUGUCUUUAUUUUUGUGCUGACUUCCUUGAGGGCCAAGUCCCUCUCAAACUGUAUAUUAAUUUCUCUCUAAUUUGCUGUCUAUACUAAUAGGUACAUUUAUAUACUGUAUAAGUAUUUUAUAGAAUAUGAGUAAUAUGAAUAAACAACAGAUUAUAAAAUCACAUUCUGUUCACACUUCUGCAUGGGUUUAUGUGUCUACACACAUCAUUUGAAGCAGCUUUCCUGAGAGGCAAGGGUAGAAGCAAAGGCUCGGGCUUCUGCGGCAGGAAGGGGCCUAGUGUGGACAGCUGGACACAAGGAUGCCCAGGACAUGGACCAAGGACCAGGCCGGAUGAGGACUCCUCCGUGGCCAUAGCCAUGGCAGGGAAGGGAACCAUGUGGGGGUGAGGGACUCAGAGUACCUGUUUCCUAUUAUUUUGCUGGGUUCAUUGCAGCAAUCGUGAUACUAGGGUGAUCCAGCCUUCCCCACAUAUGUGUGGGCCUGCUCCAGGGUGCUCCUGAGGAGUCCUCCUGACUCCUGUGCCCAGGCGCAGUCAAGGCCCCAUGCACAGCAGGUGUCCCAGCUCAGGAGCUGGGCUGCUAGGUUUCUGCUCAGCUCCCUGGAGGACAGACCCCGCCUCUGCUCCGCCGGGAGUGGCCUGGCUGUGAUCACAUGACUCAAGCAGAACCAAUCAGAUCACAGCCCAAGAUUUUUCUAUAGAAGCUGGUUAAGGAGCCCUUUCUCCUUUGCCACAGCUCCAAGGUAGAGCCAAGAGAGCAUUAGAGCUAUACCAUCUGGCUCUUGGAGAUUCAGGAAGAAGGAUAAAGGCUCUCCUAGGUAUUCCAGGCUGGCCUCAAUCUCACAGCAAUCCUCCAGCAUCAGCCUCCCUAGUGUUGGGAUUAUAGGGCCUUGUGCGGGCUAAGCAGGCGCUGUACCAUUGAACUCCACCCACCUCUGCCUGGAACAUACAUGUGAUGGCUGGAGUGCUGGCAUCCAUCUUAACAAUGAAGUGGACAUAGGACUAAAAGGCCCAAGACUGAAGGAGCUUGAGACAUCGUGAAGAUACAGCCACAAAACUGUCUACUUUCAUACUUCUUGUACAUGAGACAGAAAUAAACUUCUAUCUUGUAUUAGC